ACUUUCAACAACGGAUCUCUUGGCUCUCGCAUCGAUGAAGAACGUAGCGAAGUGCGAUAAGUAAUGUGAAUUGCAGAAUUCCGUGAGUCAUCGAAUCUUUGAACGCAAAUUGCACUUCCUGGCAUUCCGGGGAGUAUGCCUGUUUGAGGGUCAGU
This 155-nucleotide ribosomal RNA is filed under the name uncultured Glomus. RNAcentral's name for it is "5.8S ribosomal RNA". It matches the Rfam family "5.8S ribosomal RNA". Rfam says of the family: 5.8S ribosomal RNA (5.8S rRNA) is a component of the large subunit of the eukaryotic ribosome. It is transcribed by RNA polymerase I as part of the 45S precursor that also contains 18S and 28S rRNA. Functionally, it is thought that 5.8S rRNA may be involved in ribosome translocation. The record is from RNAcentral. Lineage: Eukaryota; Fungi; Glomeromycota; Glomeromycetes; Glomerales; Glomeraceae.